RNAcentral lists this ribosomal RNA (610 nucleotides) under uncultured archaeon. RNAcentral describes it as "bacterial SSU rRNA". It matches the Rfam family "Archaeal small subunit ribosomal RNA", at positions 1 to 618 of the family's 1478-position model. The record is from RNAcentral.
UCCGGUUGAUCCUGCCGGCGGUCACCGCUAUUGGGGUUCGAUUAAGACAUGCGAGUCGAGAGGGUUCGGCCCUCGGCGGACGGCUCAGUAACACGUGGAUAACCUGCCCUCAGGUGGGGGAUAAUCUCGGGAAACUGAGGCUAAUACCCCAUAGGUCAUGGACGCUGGAAUGCCCCAUGACUGAAAGCUCCGGCGCCUGAGGAUGGGUCUGCGGCCUAUCAGGUAGUAGUUGGGGUAACGGCCCAACUAGCCUAAAACGGGUACGGGCCCUGAGCGGGGGAGCCCGGAGAUGGACUCUGAGACACGAGUCCAGGCCCUACGGGGCGCAGCAGUCGCGAAAACUUCACACUGCGGGAAACCGUGAUGAGGGAACCCCAAGUGCCCAGGCGUUAGUCUGGGCUGUUCACAUGCCUAAAAAGCAUGUGAAGUAAGGGCUGGGUAAGACCGGUGCCAGCCGCCGCGGUAAUACCGGCAGCCCGAGUGGUGACCCCUAUUAUUGAGCCUAAAACGUCCGUAGCCGGCCCGGCAAAUCUCUGGUUAAAUCGGGCAGCUUAACUGUUCGACUUCCAGAGAGACUACCGGGCUUGGGACCGGGAGAGGCCAGAGGUAC